RNAcentral lists this long non-coding RNA (481 nucleotides) under Pogona vitticeps (central bearded dragon). Its description in RNAcentral is "lncRNA (ENSPVIG00000003165.1)". Lineage: Eukaryota; Metazoa; Chordata; Lepidosauria; Squamata; Agamidae. The record is from RNAcentral.
UUUGGUAGAUAUAUUGAAAGCAGUCCAGCAGUGCAGUGGGCAACAUUUCACCUGCAGAGGCAGCUACAUUUCAGAAGUGACCUUUUGUUCAACCGUAGUUAUUAUUCCAAAAGACAGUUUAAGAGGAAAAGGUUUGAAAAGCUCAAGCAUCUGUUACAUAACUGUCCAAAGCAAAGAAAACAGCAAGACCUCUUGCAGAUACAAGAAUACUUGAAGGUAAACAGAGCCUUUCAGUGUCUGCCCAUCAAAACACAACUCCAGCUGUGUCAAGUUGCCAUCUACCAAAAGUAAGUAAGGUACCAGAGCAUUACUUGCAUUUUGAGAAUGGGAUCCAUUCCAUGAACUUCCUUCAGAAAGCUGGGUCAGAAGGUGAAGAUUUUUCAACAAGGCUGAGAUUCUUGUGAUUAAAUAUUUAUCAUAAUUCUGAAGUGCCCUGCUCUGUUAAAAUAAAAUAUUGACAAAUGGAAAGUACGUAGUUCUU